Molecule: small nuclear RNA, 107 nt
Filed under: Phascolarctos cinereus (koala)
Lineage: Eukaryota; Metazoa; Chordata; Mammalia; Diprotodontia; Phascolarctidae
Source: RNAcentral
GUGCUUGCUUUAGUAGCACAUCUACUUAAGUAGGAAUGAUACAGAGAAGAUUAGCAUGGCCCUUAGACAAGGAAGACACACAAAUUCAUGAAACAUUCCGUUAAAAA